This is a non-coding RNA of Amborella trichopoda, 1052 nucleotides long. NCBI's taxonomy places the organism in Eukaryota, Viridiplantae, Streptophyta, Magnoliopsida, Amborellales, Amborellaceae. The record is from RefSeq and is a predicted model, not a curated record.
UUCAACGAAGGGCUUCUCUGCUUCCUUCAAAAACGGAUUUGCAGAGCUGAGUUUCUUAUUUCCUGUUAAAACCCUCAGGGCUUCUCUACUUCCUCCAACGAAGGAUUUGCAGAGGUUAUCAAAUACAGAAACUUUGAACUUCUUACAGUUCUUUCUUCCCAGCAAAGAAGAACUUCCAAUUUCCAGAAAACAUUUACCUUCCAAUUAUCAAAUAGGCCGUGUAACAACACGGAACUUGAAAAGGGAACCUCGCUGAAGGGUAAAAGUAAGUUACCCAUCCCCGACUGCCCUAGCGAAGAAGAGGGUAUUUGCUUGCCCCCGACUGCCCUAACCACAGAGCAGAGACGAGCCUACGAGCCUCCUCACAAAGGUACAUCUCAGUUUUUUCUCUCUUUGGUUUUUCUCUCUCUCUCUAGUUUUUUCUCUAUCCCAUAGUUUGUUUGGUCUCUUUGAUUUUUUCUCUAGGUUCCAAACGUGGUGAAAAUGAAUCUAGGGUUUUCUCUAAAUAUUGUUUUGUGGUAAAUUGUUCUCUGUAGUGAAAAAAUAAUUUGGCUGUUUUUUUUGGUAAACAGUUCUAUGUAGAAACCUUGCCCCUCAUCCCUCCCUUUCAAACCCUCCUCUCUCCAUUCCAGCUAAAUUUCACAGUUCUCUCAUUUUCUAAUUCUUGUUUUCAUCUAGUUUCUUCACCUACACAGGUGACAAUCAUAACCAUUUGGUGUCCCCUUUUUUUUUUUCUUUUUUAUGAUUGCUAUCAUCUGAAAAUGAGAUAAUCAAUGAGAUUGCUUAAAUUUGAUUCAUGGUUAGCUUUUUUGUUUUUUUCUUGAUUGAUAGUUCUUUUGUUGGUCGUGAAGAAAUGAAAGAAAAAAAAUUGCAAUAUUGCUUUCUUUUUUGCCAUAGGUUUAGAUUAAGCUUACUUUUUAUUUUUCAAUAUCAAGCAUAGGGAAUGUAGUUAUAGAAUCAGCGAACAAGAAAAAAAACAACUUGUUAUAGAUUGAUUGGAAUUUUUUGUAAAUAACAACAUUUCUCAAGGAAAUCAGCAGGAAAUUUGUUGA